UUAAGCGACUAAGCGUACACGGUGGAUGCCCUGGCAGUCAGAGGCGAUGAAGGACGUGCUAAUCUGCGAUAAGCGUCGGUAAGGUGAUAUGAACCGUUAUAACCGGCGAUUUCCGAAUGGGGAAACCCAGUGUGAUUCGUCACACUAUCAUUAACUGAAUCCAUAGGUUAAUGAGGCGAACCGGGGGAACUGAAACAUCUAAGUACCCCGAGGAAAAGAAAUCAACCGAGAUUCCCCCAGUAGCGGCGAGCGAACGGGGAGGAGCCCAGAGCCUGAAUCAGUGUGUGUGUUAGUGGAAGCGUCUGGAAAGGCGCGCGAUACAGGGUGACAGCCCCGUACACAAAAAUGCACAUGCUGUGAGCUCGAUGAGUAGGGCGGGACACGUGGUAUCCUGUCUGAAUAUGGGGGGACCAUCCUCCAAGGCUAAAUACUCCUGACUGACCGAUAGUGAACCAGUACCGUGAGGGAAAGGCGAAAAGAACCCCGGCGAGGGGAGUGAAAAAGAACCUGAAACCGUGUACGUACAAGCAGUGGGAGCACGCUUAGGCGUGUGACUGCGUACCUUUUGUAUAAUGGGUCAGCGACUUAUAUUCUGUAGCAAGGUUAACCGAAUAGGGGAGCCGAAGGGAAACCGAGUCUUAACUGGGCGUUAAGUUGCAGGGUAUAGACCCGAAACCCGGUGAUCUAGCCAUGGGCAGGUUGAAGGUUGGGUAACACUAACUGGAGGACCGAACCGACUAAUGUUGAAAAAUUAGCGGAUGACUUGUGGCUGGGGGUGAAAGGCCAAUCAAACCGGGAGAUAGCUGGUUCUCCCCGAAAGCUAUUUAGGUAGCGCCUCGUGAAUUCAUCUCCGGGGGUAGAGCACUGUUUCGGCAAGGGGGUCAUCCCGACUUACCAACCCGAUGCAAACUGCGAAUACCGGAGAAUGUUAUCACGGGAGACACACGGCGGGUGCUAACGUCCGUCGUGAAGAGGGAAACAACCCAGACCGCCAGCUAAGGUCCCAAAGUCAUGGUUAAGUGGGAAACGAUGUGGGAAGGCCCAGACAGCCAGGAUGUUGGCUUAGAAGCAGCCAUCAUUUAAAGAAAGCGUAAUAGCUCACUGGUCGAGUCGGCCUGCGCGGAAGAUGUAACGGGGCUAAACCAUGCACCGAAGCUGCGGCAGCGACACUAUGUGUUGUUGGGUAGGGGAGCGUUCUGUAAGCCUGUGAAGGUGUGCUGUGAGGCAUGCUGGAGGUAUCAGAAGUGCGAAUGCUGACAUAAGUAACGAUAAAGCGGGUGAAAAGCCCGCUCGCCGGAAGACCAAGGGUUCCUGUCCAACGUUAAUCGGGGCAGGGUGAGUCGACCCCUAAGGCGAGGCCGAAAGGCGUAGUCGAUGGGAAACAGGUUAAUAUUCCUGUACUUGGUGUUACUGCGAAGGGGGGACGGAGAAGGCUAUGUUGGCCGGGCGACGGUUGUCCCGGUUUAAGCGUGUAGGCUGGUUUUCCAGGCAAAUCCGGAAAAUCAAGGCUGAGGCGUGAUGACGAGGCACUACGGUGCUGAAGCAACAAAUGCCCUGCUUCCAGGAAAAGCCUCUAAGCAUCAGGUAACAUCAAAUCGUACCCCAAACCGACACAGGUGGUCAGGUAGAGAAUACCAAGGCGCUUGAGAGAACUCGGGUGAAGGAACUAGGCAAAAUGGUGCCGUAACUUCGGGAGAAGGCACGCUGAUAUGUAGGUGAAGUCCCUCGCGGAUGGAGCUGAAAUCAGUCGAAGAUACCAGCUGGCUGCAACUGUUUAUUAAAAACACAGCACUGUGCAAACACGAAAGUGGACGUAUACGGUGUGACGCCUGCCCGGUGCCGGAAGGUUAAUUGAUGGGGUCAGCGCAAGCGAAGCUCUUGAUCGAAGCCCCGGUAAACGGCGGCCGUAACUAUAACGGUCCUAAGGUAGCGAAAUUCCUUGUCGGGUAAGUUCCGACCUGCACGAAUGGCGUAAUGAUGGCCAGGCUGUCUCCACCCGAGACUCAGUGAAAUUGAACUCGCUGUGAAGAUGCAGUGUACCCGCGGCAAGACGGAAAGACCCCGUGAACCUUUACUAUAGCUUGACACUGAACAUUGAGCCUUGAUGUGUAGGAUAGGUGGGAGGCUUUGAAGUGUGGACGCCAGUCUGCAUGGAGCCGACCUUGAAAUACCACCCUUUAAUGUUUGAUGUUCUAACGU
Molecule: ribosomal RNA, 2199 nt
Filed under: Escherichia coli
Lineage: Bacteria; Pseudomonadati; Pseudomonadota; Gammaproteobacteria; Enterobacterales; Enterobacteriaceae
Description: bacterial LSU rRNA
Rfam family: Bacterial large subunit ribosomal RNA
Source: RNAcentral